Molecule: long non-coding RNA, 453 nt
Organism: Salvia miltiorrhiza (redroot sage)
Lineage: Eukaryota; Viridiplantae; Streptophyta; Magnoliopsida; Lamiales; Lamiaceae
Exons: 3
Source: RefSeq, a predicted model, not a curated record
GUGUUCGGCGGCGGUGGCGGCGGAGGCGGAGACGGAGGCGGAGUGUAUGAUGUGAAUUUGGUGGUGAGGUUGAUCAGAUUGUUCGUGUAUGAUAACAUGUCAAUGGAGAGGAUGGUGAAAGUAGGGUUUCUGAUUGAUAUGUAUUUGGGGGAGAUUGGGCCUGAUCCUACCCUCAGAUUCACUAAGUUUCUUGCUGUUGCUGAGAGUUUGCCUGAUUGUGCAAGGGAUUCUUUUGAUCAAGUUUAUAGAGCAAUUGAUAUAUAUCUUCAGAUAUAGAAUCGUCUCCUGGCAAUGAGGUCGUGGUACCAGGCUACUAAGAAGCGCAACACAGUUAAGGUAUCUAUGAAGAUAAGGCAGUCGGAACGGGUAAUGAAUAGUGUAUACUUGUUUUAUUGUGUCACAAGUUUAUGUGUAUCUUUAACACAAAAUAAUAUUAGUUACAGGUUAGGAAUU